CCUAUGUCGUAUAGAUACUGCAGGAACAAUAAUAGGACGGACAACAUGUCGUUUUCGCUUACGUUGUAUCUAUCGUGUACAUUUAGGUGAAAAGCGGCUCCCUUCCGCUGAUAGCAAUAGCCGCAGCACUCAGCAUUCACCAGCAGUGGCCAGCAAACCUGGCGACCCCGGGUUGCAGUGCAGUGAAGUGGCGAUUGACCUCGCCCCUUUGUCCUCCCUGCUGUGUGACCAAUUCUCAAUCGCUGCAAUAGAAGACGAGGGUUUGCGGUCUGCCGUGCUGGGGUCGCUCGACACAACUGCCGGAGUACCAUGGUACCUGCAUAUGACGAUACUGCGAUAAUUACCCUGGUCGUCGAUCUACUACCCUACUAACUGUCGCGGCAGCAUCUACAGUGUUGCGAUUCGUGUGUGUGUUUGUGCGUCUGCGUGUAUGUGUGUCAACGUUACCGCUGUCCGUGGGAAACGACCAAUUAACCCGGGUCCAACGUUCUACAAUUCUACCGCUGUUUAAAGCAUCAACCGCUAGUCAGUCGGUCAGUAGCGGCAUCACCUUUUGGUAGAUCCACCAUGAACAGCCACGGCACAAGCAAUAGCAGUCGUGGUUUGGUACCGUUGAAGCAGUACGUUAGUUUGUCAUUGCCGCUGCCUGCACAGCGCGUUGGCUCCGGUGGGCCACUGCCUUCAUUGCAACGGCGGCCGGCUGCGGCAAUAGCAGCAGCAUUCGGGGUCGGCGGCCUGGCGGCGGGUGUAGCCGGCGCCUGAUCCGAGUACUGAGGCUCGUUUUGUCGCUCGGCGCUACGUCGUCCAUCAGCAUUCAGUCAGUAAAUCAGUGUACGGUAGACAGCAUCACUGCCAACGGUAACAUCAGCAUUGGCAGUUGUCUUAACAGCAACAGCUGUUGCAGUUUCUUUCACCAUCAUCGUCAGCGGUGGGAGCAAAAGUAGAAGUAACGACCCUGUGGUCUUCGCGUUUUGCUCUUGUAGUUAUCCUAUAGCGGCUACCGAUGCCGUGGUGACAAUCGAUGCUUGUGACACCAGAUCUGCGUCGCUGAGCUAUUGAAUGGUUUCUUCAGUGAACCGCCAAUGACCAGCACCUAAGCUCACUGCCCGUUAACAAGCGACCAGCCGUGGAUGCGCUAUCGUUGGCGUCAUAUAUGCAUAUACGUACCAUGGCUCACUACAAACGGCAUUCUGUGUUUGCGCGCAUGCCUACGUGUAUGCAAGUUUGCGCCCGAGUGUGGCCACUGUGUGCGUGCGUGCAUGUGUAUGUGUUUGUGGGUGAGCCAAAUUAUGUGUCGUCGUUUGUGACGGCGGUAGGGCUUUCCCGACCACGACCACGGCGAUUAAAAGGUGAACAUCGCCGGCCGACGGUCGGCCGGUGCUCACUACAUAGAGCUACGCCGCUGAUCCUGGCCGGUCAGUCAGUCGGUUAGCCGAUUCUUGAACAUCGCGCCAACGUUGGGAUCAGGAGUGGUUGGCACGUACCAAAUUGAACGGUUACAAUAGCACGACCAACGGCGGAUAGAAACAACAUCACCAACAACGGCAACAACAACAGCAGUAGCAGCGACAUCGACGAUCGUCGCGAUAUAGUCGCUAGUGGCGGAAAUGUUUUAUGCACACAAUAGUGUGGGAUUCACCUGAGCCAUCACUGAGACCGCUCCCGUCAGAGACUAGCUUAAAAACAGGAAGAAAGGUGCAUCCACCGCUUAGAUAGUGGAUGAGGACCCCAUAAGCCGGAAAAACCACGACUUGUCGAGCAUUAGCCCAGUGAGUGAGAGGGGAGAAGGGGAGAGGAAGAGGGAGGGGGCAAACGAAGAAAAAAGGGAAAGGAACUGGGGAGGAGCCAGAAACUCAACCUUCCAUCGUCUCAGAGAGGUUACUAUUACAUUGCACGAAGUGCUGAUAGCGGAAUGAGCGACGCAAAACACGUGAAGCGGAAAAACUAGAAUUUCAGCAAACGAAUAGCGUAAAGUCUUGAAUAAUGGAUCCAGGUAUUGUCCGUCCUGCCUAGAUAACCAGCGAUUUGAUUCUAUGGCACCAAUCGGAUGAUAGGAUCGGCACAGUACCAGCAGGCGGAGGCCCUUCGAGCAAGAAAUAAACGAUAGAUCCUGACGGCAACAUACAAGCUGCGCAACCCUGGCCUUAACUGGCCUUCAACCCUUCAACUCGGCGGUAAAAAAUAGCAGCAGUAGCAGCAGGCAAUCGCCGCCGCACUUGGUUCUGCGGCAGGCCGUUCAGUCCGUUGUGAAUCUGCGAACACGGUUCGUUACUAAAUUCCCCAAGUCGAAUGGCUUUCACCGCCUCAUCAGCGCAGCAGUAGUGGCGUGUAUAUGUGCGCCUGCGUAUAAUACCUUCUACUUCCGCCACUCAGUUAGUGGUCCCGGUCGAAAUGCGCUCCUCUCUAGAGGCCUUGCCGCUGAAACGGCGGCCAAUCGCGUCCCACCACUUUUACCUCUACCGAACAAUAGACGCAAGGAAUUAGUUAGCUAACUAACUGCCUUCGCACGACGUUCGCUGGUUAGAUCGCUGCGAAUUUCACCAACGUUGUCAACAAACGUUCACCAAUAGGCCAACCGCCAUAUCUCCAAGGUCAGCCUUCUGGACGCGUCAUGGAACUUUUGUCUGUUUUCCUCCGUUUGAGUGCUCCUCUAGCUCUGUUAACUAGAUUAUUAUAUUAGUUAACUCUCAAGUAAAUAAUAAACGAAGGAUGUUUUACUCGCUUUGUUGAUAUUGCAGAUAGAUAGAUAUUUGAAAGACAUGCGGCGACCCUGAAAGCAGUUAUGUUGCAUUGCGGUUGUGUAUUUUAAUAGUUAAGAGCGGUCGUUUAUGACGCGCUUUUCCGUGUCAUCUUACAUCGAGGUCAAGGCGAUCUUCAUCAACUCGACGCGAUAAACCAACGUCUGCAGUGAACGGAGUUCGGAAUCUCGACAAACAACACCACGCUGACAAAGAUGAUAGAAACCAAGGCGACUGAAACUAACAACUAACACCGUAUAGGUUGAAUAAACGAUGUGGUUUGUUUGGCGCGCAAA
This 3034-nucleotide long non-coding RNA is filed under the name Varroa destructor (honeybee mite). RNAcentral's name for it is "uncharacterized LOC111255375, transcript variant X2". The record is from RNAcentral. Lineage: Eukaryota; Metazoa; Arthropoda; Arachnida; Mesostigmata; Varroidae.